This 29-nucleotide non-coding RNA is filed under the name Rattus norvegicus (Norway rat). The record is from RNAcentral. Lineage: Eukaryota; Metazoa; Chordata; Mammalia; Rodentia; Muridae.
UGUUUUUGGACAUGGGUUACCUCUGAAGU